This 252-nucleotide ribosomal RNA is filed under the name uncultured bacterium. Its description in RNAcentral is "partial 16S ribosomal RNA". It matches the Rfam family "Bacterial small subunit ribosomal RNA", at positions 525 to 776 of the family's 1533-position model. The record is from RNAcentral.
ACGAAGGUGGCGAGCGUUGUUCGGAUUUACUGGGCGUAAAGCGUGCGUAGGUGGUAUCGUGUGUCGGAUGUGAAAUCCCAUGGCUCAACUGUGGAACUGCAUUCGAAACUACGGAACUAGAGUACAGGAGGGGAGAGCGGAAUUCUUGGUGUAGCGGUGAAAUGCGUUGAUAUCAAGAAGAACACCGGUGGCGAAGGCGGCUCUCUGGAAUGUUACUGACACUGAGGCACGAAAGCUGGGGGAGCAAACAGG